ACAGCAGCCGCCGCGGGAAUACGGAGGGUGCAAGCGUUAAUCGGAAUUACUGGGCGUAAAGCGCACGCAGGCGGUCUGACAAGUCAGAUGUGAAAUCCCCGGGCUUAACCUGGGAACUGCAUUUGAAACUGUCAGGCUGGAGUCUUGUAGAGGGGGGUAGAAUUCCAGGUGUAGCGGUGAAAUGCGUAGAGAUCUGGAGGAAUACCGGUGGCGAAGGCGGCCCCCUGGACAAAGACUGACGCUCAGGUGCGAAAGCGUGGGGAGCAAACAGGAUUAGAUACCCCUGUAGUCCCUGUCUCUUAUAC
This 305-nucleotide ribosomal RNA is filed under the name uncultured bacterium. RNAcentral's name for it is "partial 16S ribosomal RNA". It matches the Rfam family "Bacterial small subunit ribosomal RNA", at positions 508 to 807 of the family's 1533-position model. The record is from RNAcentral.